This 292-nucleotide ribosomal RNA is filed under the name uncultured Verrucomicrobiota bacterium. RNAcentral describes it as "uncultured Verrucomicrobia bacterium partial 16S ribosomal RNA". Lineage: Bacteria; Pseudomonadati; Verrucomicrobiota. The record is from RNAcentral.
GGACUACUGGGGUAUCUAAUCCCGUUUGCUCCCCUGGCUUUCGUGCCUGAGCGUCAGGAACUGUCCAGAGACCCGCCUUCGCCACCGGUGUUCUGGUCGAUCUCUACGCAUUUCACCGCUACACCGACCAUUCCAGUCUCCUCUCCAGUCCUCGAGCGUGCCAGUUUCGAAUGACCUAUCACAGUUAGGCUGUGAGAUUUCACAUCCGACUUAACACACCGCCUGCGCACCCUUUACGCCCAAUGAAUCCGAACAACGCUUGCAGUCUCUGUAUUACCGCGGCGGCUGGCAC